CGCGGCCUAUCAGCUUGUUGGUGAGGUAACGGCUCACCAAGGCAUCGACGGGUAGCUGGUCUGAGAGGACGAUCAGCCACACUGGGACUGAGACACGGCCCAGACUCCUACGGGAGGCAGCAGCAGGGAAUUUUGCACAAUGGGCGCAAGCCUGAUGCAGCGACGCCGCGUGGGGGAUGAAUGCCUUCGGGUUGUAAACCCCUUUCAGGAGGGACGAAGCGAAAGUGACGGUACCUCCAGAAGAAGCCCCGGCCAACUACGUGCCAGCAGCCGCGGUAAUACGUAGGGGGCGAGCGUUGUCCGGAUUUAUUGGGCGUAAAGAGCUCGUAGGCGGUCCAACAAGUCGGCCGUGAAAGCCUGAGGCUCAACCUCAGGACGCCGGUCGAAACUGUUGUGACUAGGGUUCGGUAGAGGAGAGUGGAAUUCCCGGUGUAGCGGUGAAAUGCGCAGAUAUCGGGAGGAACACCACUAGCGAAGGCGGCUCUCUGGGCCGAUACCGACGCUGAGGAGCGAAAGCUAGGGGAGCAAACAGGAUUAGAUACCCUGGUAGUCCUAGCCGUAAACGUUGGGCACUAGGUGUGGCGGACUCAUUGACGUCUGCCGUGCCGUAGCUAACGCAUUAAGUGCCCCGCCUGGGGAGUACGG
Molecule: ribosomal RNA, 645 nt
Filed under: uncultured Actinomycetes bacterium
Lineage: Bacteria; Bacillati; Actinomycetota; Actinomycetes
Description: bacterial SSU rRNA
Rfam family: Bacterial small subunit ribosomal RNA
Source: RNAcentral